GUGCCAGCAGCCGCGGUAAUUCCAGCUCCAAUAGCGUAUAUUAAAGUUGUUGCGGUUAAAAAGCUCGUAGUCGGACUUGUGUCCCACGCUGCCGGUUCACCGCCCGUCGGUGUCCAACUGGCAUGCACGUGCGGACGUCCUGCCGGUGGCCCGAGCCGGCUCGGGAGGGGCUCCCUCUCCCGGGUUUCGGGGAAGGCCUGUCACACCCGUCCAGGUGCUCUUAGCCGAGUGUCUCGAUGGGCCGGCAAGUUUACUUUGAACAAAUUAGAGUGCUUAAAGCAGGCAGCACACGCCUGAAUACCGAGUGCAUGGAAUAAUGGAAUAGGACCUCGGUUCUAUUUUGUUGGUUUUCGGAAGCCCCGAGGUAAUGAUCAAUAGGGACAGACGGGGGCAUUCGUAUUGCGACGUUAGAGGUGAAAUUCUUGGAUCGUCGCAAGACGGACCAAAGCGAAAGCAUUUGCCAAGAAUGUUUUCUCUGAUCAAGAACGAAAGUUAGAGGUUCGAAGGCGAUCAGAUACCGCCCUAGUUCUAACCAUAAACGAUGCCAGCCAGCAAUCCGCCGAAGUUCCUCCGAUGACUCGGCGGGCGGCCUCCGGGAAACCAAAGCUUUUGGGUUCCGGGGGAAGUAUGGUUGCAAAGCUGAAACUUAAAGGAAUUGACGGAAGGGCACCACCAGGAGUGGAGCCUGCGGCUUAAUUUGACUCAACACGGGAAACCUCACCAGGCCCGGACACCGGGAGGAUUGACAGAUUGAGAGCUCUUUCUCGAUUCGGUGGGUGGUGGUGCAUGGCCGUUCUUAGUUGGUGGAGCGAUUUGUCUGGUUAAUUCCGAUAACGAACGAGACUCUGGCCUACUAACUAGUCGCUUCCGGCAUCCUCCGAGCUGCCGGCGACAAACGAUCUUCUUAGAGGGACAGGCGGCUCCUAGCCGCACGAGAUUGAGCAAUAACAGGUCUGUGAUGCCCUUAGAUGUUCUGGGCCGCACGCGCGCUACACUGAAGGAAUCAGCGUGUCCUCCCUGGCCGAGAGGCCCGGGUAACCCGCUGAACCUCCUUCGUGCUAGGGAUUGGGGCUUGCAAUUGUUCCCCAUGAACGAGGAAUUCCCAGUAAGCGCGGGUCAUAAGCUCGCGUUGAUUACGUCCCUGCCCUUUGUACACACCGCCCGUCGCUACUACCGAUUGAAUGAUUUAGUGAGGUCUUCGGACCGGUGGGCGAGGGGGUCCGCCUCCUCGAUUCCGCCGGGAAGAUGCCCAAACUUGAUCAUUUAGAGG
Molecule: ribosomal RNA, 1270 nt
Filed under: Chaeteessa filata
Lineage: Eukaryota; Metazoa; Arthropoda; Insecta; Mantodea; Chaeteessidae
Description: SSU rRNA
Rfam family: Eukaryotic small subunit ribosomal RNA
Source: RNAcentral